AAUUAUUAUAAUAAUACGAGUAUUAUUGAUAUUAUAAUAAAAAUACUCAAUUAGCAUAAUUAAAAAGAAAUUUGGUUAGUGACAGACGCAUCACUGUCACCGGCGAACCGCCGCCGAUCGACCACCCAACACCAGCGCCGCUCCUCUCUCCCUUCUCUCUCUCUCUUUUUCUCUUUAAAACCACCAGAAAACCCAUGCUUCGGCGAGCCGCGCGCCACCAGCAGCCUUUAUUGUGAGCCCAAAUGAAGCCAUCUUCAACCAAGCCCUACGCCACCAGCAGCUCUCAAACAACGCUGCUACCGCCCAUCCACGUAGCCUCCGCCCUCCACCAAAAAAGUGGGUAACUCCGUCGCCGAUCCAGCCCCCGUCAAACACCCCAUCCGCCGACGAAAAAAGCAACAGAAACAGGAGCUGCCAGCCCGAAGGACCACCACUGGUCCGCUUCUCUGCCGCCAUAAUUUCCACUCAUCGCCGGUGAAACCUGCGAAUCCAUCUAACUUGAUUGAUUCUUCCAACUUCGCGUCGUUCCUCGCCGUCAAUUCUCGCAGGCGCUGCUGUAGAUCAAUCUUCUCCGGCAGGAAGUCUUAGUUCAUUGCACCAUACAAGGUCGAGAUCCCUAUUUCGUGAAUCUUCAUCAUCAACGGGGCUGCUCCAUAUCUAAUUCUCUUUCCAACAAAUUUCUGAUACGCACAAUAAGGAUAUCUUCAAAUUCACCAAAUUGCCCUCAUCGGCCGCCGUUCCUCGCCGUCAAAUCUCGUCGAUGAUGCAAUAGAAUCUUCUCCAGUAUACGCAAAGCUUACAGAUUCUGAUUUUUAUACCCCCACUUUUCUCAAUCAAGAUUCAAGUAAGAGACCCUUUUGGCUUUUCUUGGUUGUGGAAUUGUUGGUUGAGCUGAAUAUUUGAGUUAACGAACAACAAGAAGAAGAAGAUAGGCACCAUCAUCAUCAUCAUCUCAAAGAAGAAGAACGCAAAGCGCGUGGAAAUUAGGUGACAGGAACACUAUUCCGGCGACACUAUUUCGGCGACCAAUUUCUACCACAAAUUGUCGGAAUCCAGCGACUCAACCAAGUAUAAGGACACAACACUACUAGAAAACUGGUUAUUACCUGGGGCUUUUCAUAGGUAUAAUGUGGUAAAAUUUCCAGGUAAUUUGAUUACCUGCAGAUUUUCUUACCAAUUAGAAUCCAAAGGAAAUAGCUUCGUAGGUAAUUAUUACCUACAGAUUUAUAAAGUCCCUAGGUAAUUUAGCUGUGGAAAUAAAUUCGCAGGUAUUUUAUUUGCGGAUUUACUUGCGUAUUUUACCUGCGGAUUUUUAUGAAAAAAAUCACAAAUUAUUCCCCACAAAAAUUUUCAAGUAAAUUCCUAGGUAAUUUAGCUGUGAAAAUAAAUCUGUGAGUACGUUAUUUGUGAAUUUAUUUGUGAUUAAACAUCAAAAUUUUGCAUGAAUUAUUUGAUAAAAUUUCAUAAAAAGAAUUUUACCUGCGGAUUUUCAGAAAAUAGAAAGAGUUUGAUGAUAUUCUUAUCCUAAAUGAAACAGAAAUAACAUUUGUAGGUACUUUCUCAAACAUAAGUGACCAUUUAGAGAAUUUACUCUUUUAUUUUUCAAUAUAUGCUUCCUUUAGCGGUGAAAUCACAAUUUUUAUUAUGUGCAUUAAUUUUAUUUUACUUAUCUACACAAUAUAAAUUUUUAGCAAAUCGACACCCUUUCAAACAAAAGUGGCUCUGCCAGUAUUGUUCUCGUUCAUAUCUUCGUAAUUGUGAUUCGGUGUAGUAAUAUCAAUUAAUAAAAUUACUUAAAGAUCUAAAUAUGAUAGCUACAAAUUGUUGAUUAGGAUUAAUUGUAUUCGGUAUUUCUUAUCAUAAAUGGUGUCUGAAAAGGCCUGUAGUGCGCAUGCCUGCUAUCUUACUCUUACCUUACCUCGUGAGGGUAGAAAAAUUAUUUCUGAGUAUUUCUUAUUUUCCAUGGUUCCCUUUUCUACUUCCUCUAAGCUUCGUUUCUUUGUGUUUGUAACAAACUAUAUAUACACAACAUUCAAGUGAAAGGAAGAAAUUGUACCAAAAAAGCAAUAUCUUUAUAUCACUUGAUUUUAAUAUCCAGCGUGUCAUUCAUGUUUCAGCCUUCACGUCACCUCCCACCAUGAUAUAUGGAUUCAUGAUUUAAACUUUUUAAUUCAAAAUCUCAAUUCUUAGAGUUCACAUACGAGUUUUAAAUUAGUAUUUUAGGUAUAGUAAAUAAAUUUCUUAAGACCAACAUAAGAUUUAAAUCAAAGUUACUUACAGUUACUUCUAUCGGCCCAUACAUGAAACUGUACGUCCUUUUUUGUCUACCAUCCACACUAUAUUCACCGCACACCUCACUGAAAAAAUAAAAAAAAAUUCAUAAACAUAAAAAUUAAAGUGUAUGGAACUCAUCGUGUCUUCACAUGCAUUAGAUAUCUAUAAACAACAUAGGUAAAAAAGAUUGAAAAAGGUACAUAUAUUAGGUUGCAAGAAAUGUUGAAUUAUCAAUUGUUCCCUCCAUUAUUUACUUUCCAAGAUUGUGUAGGACGACAACAUAGUCCUUUCAUAAUGAACAAACAGUUUAAAGAGGCUAUUGCACAUGCUUCUUUUUCUUCAUUUUUACCCAAAACUACUUGACAUCUAAAAGUUUCCCCUACCAAAAUUUUCUUCAAAUAGGUCUAUAUUAAUCUAUGACCUAUCACCGCCUUAAGAAGAAGAUAGGCACCAUCAUCAUCAUCAUCUCAAAGAAGAAGAACGCAAAGCGCGUGGAAAUUAGGUGACAGGAACACUAUUCCGGCGACACUAUUUCGGCGACCAAUUUCUACCACAAAUUGUCGGAAUCCAGCGACUCAACCAAGUAUAAGGACACAACACUACUAGAAAACUGGUUAUUACCUGGGGCUUUUCAUAGGUAUAAUGUGGUAAAAUUUCCAGGUAAUUUGAUUACCUGCAGAUUUUCUUACCAAUUAGAAUCCAAAGGAAAUAGCUUCGUAGGUAAUUAUUACCUACAGAUUUAUAAAGUCCCUAGGUAAUUUAGCUGUGGAAAUAAAUUCGCAGGUAUUUUAUUUGCGGAUUUACUUGCGUAUUUUACCUGCGGAUUUUUAUGAAAAAAAUCACAAAUUAUUCCCCACAAAAAUUUUCAAGUAAAUUCCUAGGUAAUUUAGCUGUGAAAAUAAAUCUGUGAGUACGUUAUUUGUGAAUUUAUUUGUGAUUAAACAUCAAAAUUUUGCAUGAAUUAUUUGAUAAAAUUUCAUAAAAAG
RNAcentral lists this long non-coding RNA (3260 nucleotides) under Capsicum annuum. Its description in RNAcentral is "long non-coding RNA (CANN_LNC006111)". Lineage: Eukaryota; Viridiplantae; Streptophyta; Magnoliopsida; Solanales; Solanaceae. The record is from RNAcentral.